Molecule: long non-coding RNA, 1707 nt
Organism: Chenopodium quinoa (quinoa)
Lineage: Eukaryota; Viridiplantae; Streptophyta; Magnoliopsida; Caryophyllales; Amaranthaceae
Exons: 3
Source: RefSeq, a predicted model, not a curated record
CACAGUUGAAAAGAAAAUAUAACAUAUUAUAUUUUUCCAAAAUAACAUUGAUAUUAUUAUAUUAACCAGGCCAUUUGCAAAAAUUAUCUACCAAAUUAAAUAAAAUUAUUGACAGAUAGAAGAGCCUUUCAUUUUGGGAAAUAUGAAUCGCUUGCAUAUUCUCCAAAUAUGACAACAAAUAAAUAUUUUCCUUUAAAGGGAAUAUUAUAAGGUUUUCUGUACUUCAACUCUCUUCCAACAAUCCACAAACAACCAAACCUCAAAGGGAGAAAUUGAAGCUAAGGUCAUCUACACCAACCUUCAAGCCUUUUAUAUAAUUUAUCGCGGUGUUCGGAACAUGUUAAAGAGGAGGCAGUGGUGAAUGGAAGCUGACAGAAGAUAGAGAGCACUGAGGAUGAUAUGCAGAUUAAAUUUGCUGCAUCUCAACUCCUUUGUGCUCUCUAUGUUCUGUCACCACCUUUAGCCCCUCUAUCCUUAAUUUAAUUUAAUUACCAAUUAUAUUUCGUUGCUUUUCAUUUCUUGGUUCAUGUAGCCGACUUUAACAUUGAUUGGGAUUAAGGUUUCGAUGUUGUUGCAAUUGUAUGUAUAAUAGGCGAAUGCGAGGCGCUGACAGAAGAUAGAGAGCACAGAUGGAUGAAAUGUUUGAAAUUUGCAUUUUAUUACCUUUGUGCUCUCUAUCUCUGUCAUCACCUUCCUCCCUUCUACAUAUACUAAUGUUCUUUUAUUAUGUUUAGUAAUUAUUUAGGAAUGUUUUUUAUUUGCAUAUGUUAUGCUUAAUAUAUAAAUCAUGGCCUUGUUUAUUUGUAUUUACAUGUUUGUUUAUGCAAAUUGAAUUUCAGAUGGAAUUCUAAGGCAAUGAAAUGGUAAGUCUAUUUCUUUUGGAUUAAGAGGCUUAAAUUGAAUUUGACUAAUUAUUGUCUUCAUAUAUUUAGGUUAUAUUUGAUUAAGGUAUAUUCAAUAGAGAAGGAAAGCGCAAGAAAUUGGAAUGGAUAUUGAUUAUUGAAGACCUCAGAUUAAGAGGGAACCAAAUUGUCUAUAAAUCUCGAGCACCGGAAGAUGAUCAAUAAGACGAACAACAUUUAAUUGAAGCACGAGCUACUUCUUUAAUACUGUAUUUUUAAUUAUUUGGUCAACACUUUGCUAAGAGAAAAUCAAAUUAGAGAAAUAUUUCAAGGUAGUUUAUAUAAUUAAGGGCGGUGAUUGUCAGUUUAAGAUAUGUAAUUAUGGGUUUUAAUUAUUAAAUUAGGCCAGCAAAUAGUUACUUUGUACUUUAUACAGUAUUAAAUUUUAACUAUACGAUUGUGUACUUAAUAACUAUACUUGUAAAUUGAUACUCCGUAGUAGACUUUUUAUUAGUAGAGUACAAGUUUUCACAUGGAAAUGGCAGACCAUGAUGUAAUUUGUCCGCUAAUCAUGUGAUAAUGAGACCUUUCUAUAUUAAGUUACCUUAGUCAGUUUCCAUAUGUGGUAAAAAAUGUACACUUUCCACAAUUGGAAAAGACUAUAUUACAGUACUGAAAAAGGUACAUGUGUAAUUACAAAGUUUUAAGUACAAUAAUUGAUCACUAAGCAAGUAGAAUAUCUAAUUUUUAUUUUAAAAAAAAAAUAAAAAUAAAAUAAAAAAUUAAAGUAAGGAAAAGGACCCUUAUCAUAUCUCAACCUAACUCUUAUGGUAUUAAGGAAUCCCGGCCUCACCCCCAACCUUAG